UUGAAUGCAAUUGGAGUUGGUUGUCGCUGGCCUCUUUACUGAGGCAUGUGCACGCCUUCUCCGUUCAUCCACACACACCUGUGCACUUGUGAGACGGACUAACCCUUCCGAGGGGAUGCCCCGUCUAUUAUACAUAAACUCCAAUAUAUAAAAAUUGAAUGUAAUCAGAUGUAACGCAUCAUUGAAC
RNAcentral lists this unclassified non-coding RNA (187 nucleotides) under uncultured Ceratobasidium. RNAcentral's name for it is "sequence contains ITS1". Lineage: Eukaryota; Fungi; Basidiomycota; Agaricomycetes; Cantharellales; Ceratobasidiaceae. The record is from RNAcentral.